UACGUAGGGACCAAGCGUUGUUCGGAUUUACUGGGCGUAAAGGGCACGUAGGCGGCGCGGUAAGUCACUUGUGAAAUCUCUGAGCUUAACUCAGAACGGCCAAGUGAUACUGCAGUGCUAGAGUGUGGAAGGGGCAAUCGGAAUUCUUGGUGUAGCGGUGAAAUGCAUAGAUAUGACCCGGAACACCUAUUGCGAAGGCAGCAGGCUAAACAAAUAUUGACGCUGAGGCUCGAAAGCGUGGGGAUCAAACAGG
This 253-nucleotide ribosomal RNA is filed under the name uncultured bacterium. RNAcentral describes it as "partial 16S ribosomal RNA". It matches the Rfam family "Bacterial small subunit ribosomal RNA", at positions 524 to 776 of the family's 1533-position model. The record is from RNAcentral.